AGAGUUUGAUCAUGGCUCAGGAUGAACGCUAGCUACAGGCUUAACACAUGCAAGUCGAGGGGAAACGACAUCGAAAGCUUGCUUUUGAUGGGCGUCGACCGGCGCACGGGUGAGUAACGCGUAUCCAACCUCGCCCACCUACGUUGGGGAUAACCUUGACGAAAGUAAGACUAAUACCCAAUGAUAUCUCUAGAAGACAUCUGAAAGAGAUUAAAGAUUUAUCGGUGAUGGAUGGGGAUGCGUCUGAUUAGCUUGUUGGCGGGGUAACGGCCCACCAAGGCGACGAUCAGUAGGGGUUCUGAGAGGAGGGUCCCCCACAUUGGAACUGAGACACGGUCCAAACUCCUACGGGAGGCAGCA
Molecule: ribosomal RNA, 360 nt
Filed under: uncultured bacterium
Lineage: Bacteria
Description: bacterial SSU rRNA
Rfam family: Bacterial small subunit ribosomal RNA
Source: RNAcentral